This is a long non-coding RNA of Homo sapiens (human), 2276 nucleotides long. Lineage: Eukaryota; Metazoa; Chordata; Mammalia; Primates; Hominidae. The record is from Ensembl.
CUCUGGCCAUGUCUUCAAGUGAGGGACCUGGAGAUGUUCUUUUCCAAUUUCUGGAUUGGGAAAUGGAGGCAAAUUCUGGGUACUAGAGUCAGAACUAAGACGAGGCUGAAUCGGGAGAGUCUGGGGUCCUGAGAGGCAGAGACCUGAAACCCUCUAGAUUGUGUGGGGAGCUGGGUGUGUGUUCUGGCCAGUUGUUUCUCCCUGUGCCUCAAUGUUCCAGGUACCCUUGGAGGGGGCUGAGAUCCUGGGGAUGCCUGGAGCCUGGCUGCAUGGCCUGGCCGCCCUGAUGCCUUCGUGCUCUCCACAGCAGGCCAGCAAGGCCGAGGAGAAUGGUUCCAACAGCUUCAUGCACUCCAUGGUCCCACAGCUGGAGUGGCAGAUGGAGACCACCCAGAGCCUGGUGGACUCCUAUGUGGCCAUUGUCAACAAGACCGUGUGGGACCUCAUGGUUGGUCUCACACCCAAGACCAUCAUGCACCUCAUGAUCAACAACAACAAGGAGUUUAUCUUCUCGGAGCUGCUGGCCAACCUGUACUUGCAUGGGGACAAGAACAUGCUGAUGGAGGAGUCGGCAGAGCAGGCACAGCGGUCAUGAACACAAUCAGCACGCCCACGGGGGCCCAUGGACAACUCCUGACUGCAGGUGCAGAGCAUCCUACUGGAUGCAGGUACCAGGGCUGGCCCCCACGGCCCCAAAGCCCCCCAGCCUCCAUGGCUAAGACUGUGGGCUCUUGGAACAGCCUCCAUGCCCAAGUUGGCAGAUGUGGGUGCUCUCUAGAGUCCUCGGAGAGGGCAGAGAACUCAUGGUUUAUGGUGUAGGGGCUGGGAAUGUGGAGGGCGUUGUGUGUGGGGCUGGACUCUGAGGCGGCCAGAGGCCUAGGAAUGUCACCUGGGCACAACAUAACUGUCGUGCAGUCUGAGUCAUGCUGCCAGGGCAGGGUAUCCAGUUCCCAGUCUGGGAGUGCCGAGAGCCAAAUCCACUGCAGAGCAGGGUUGAUAGUCAGGGUCCCACCUCCUCUAUAUGUUGGCAAUCCAGUGGUGAUCUAGGAUAAAAUCUUGAGAGUCCCAUACACAUGGUCAUCCCACAACACACCUCACAGGCCAGGCAGGAACACACAGCCCCCUUCCCUCCCUCCCAGAUACCAUCAUACCUGCUAGCGUGUGACUGAAGGCAGGGUCCCUGGCCCCUGCUGAAACACUACCGCCAGCCAGCGGGCUCAUGCACCUUGGCCUGUUGCUCCUAGGGGUCACCUGUGCUAUUCAGCCAAGGGGACCACAGUCCCUGCUGGCCCAGCUGAGCUCCACAUAGCCAGCCCACCCACCUCCCCUGCCACAGACUCUCCCUCUUCUGCUUUUCCCAGCAGGAGGGGCCCAGGCUCACCUAUGCAACCUGCAGGCCCCCACAACCAGCUGAGGCUCCCCCCUUAGACUUAUAAGUCUAUGGCCAGUGGCAUAUGCCCUUCCUGCCUCCCCCAGGGUCCUUUCAGAGGGUCCUGGGCUUUCUGAUGACCCAGAGGGGCCUCUGGCGCUCACUCAGUCCAGCCAUCCCUUUUAGCUUCACCAUCCUGGGUCAAGCAGUGUUCCUUCUCUAUCAGGCCUGGUGGCUGUUGGGUGGGGCUCCCCAAGGCGAGAGGUGGCCCUGGGCCAGUGGGUUGGAAGGGGAGGGUGACCAGAGAAGAGGGAAGCCCGAGGGGGCUGAGCAUUGGUCUGAACUGUGGGUGCACUGCCUGGGUGCCGUGGGAGAGGCCAGUGUGUGUGGGCUGGGGAGGGCUGCCACAGCCCCCAGGCACUACCUGUGAAGCUCCGGCUCCUCCCUCCAUCUUCCUCCCCUUUUCCUUCCAGCCCCUCUUUUCCAGGAACCUUGCCACACCUGCACCUGUGUCCUCCCCUCCCCGGCCCUCCCACAGCUGCUGCAGCACGCCUGUGCUCUGUGCUUGCCUCACCAGCUCUCUGCUCACAUUUCUCUCUCCCAUUUUCUCUCUGCUUUCUCUCCAACUGCCAGCUGAUCAGGUCAGGCAAGUCCAUCCCGUCCUGAGAGCCCCAGCCCCACUCUGACCUCUAAACAGAUCCUCCUCUUCUCGGAGGCCUCCCUUUCCAAGCCUGCCUGGGCGGGUGUCCUGUGACUGGACAGUGGCUCCCCAGCCCCAAAGCCAGCCCCCUUCAUCUGUGACUUAGUCUGUCAUAGUGGUGAGCUGAUCCAGGUGUGACCGUUGCUGAAAACUUGUGCCCCCUCUGUGGUAUGCCCCUGCCCUGUUCUAUAAAUAUCUAUAAAUACU